UACGUAGGGGGCAAGCGUUGUCCGGAUUUAUUGGGCGUAAAGAGCGUGUAGGCGGCCAGAUAGGUCCGUUGUGAAAACUCGAGGCUCAACCUCGAGACGCCGAUGGAAACCAUUUGGCUAGAGUCCGGAAGAGGAGAGUGGAAUUCCUGGUGUAGCGGUGAAAUGCGCAGAUAUCAGGAGGAACACCAAUUGCGAAGGCAGCUCGCUGGGACGUUACUGACGCUGAGACGCGAAAGCGUGGGGAGCAAACAGG
This 253-nucleotide ribosomal RNA is filed under the name uncultured bacterium. RNAcentral's name for it is "partial 16S ribosomal RNA". It matches the Rfam family "Bacterial small subunit ribosomal RNA", at positions 524 to 776 of the family's 1533-position model. The record is from RNAcentral.